This 337-nucleotide unclassified non-coding RNA is filed under the name Hevea brasiliensis (rubber tree). The record is from RNAcentral. Lineage: Eukaryota; Viridiplantae; Streptophyta; Magnoliopsida; Malpighiales; Euphorbiaceae.
UAUUUACCCCGGUUGCCCCUAGGGUUUCGUCUCGUUCUCUCCCUCGCCCUCAUCUCCCGAUCGCCGGCGAAAGCCAUGACGACGGCAGCGCGACCGACAUGGGCUCCGGCGAAGGGAGGCCAGGAGCAGGGCGGCACCCGGAUCUUUGGCCCCUCACAGAAGUACUCCUCCCGAGACAUGGCGUCCCACACCACGCUCAAACCCAGGAAGGAAGGGCAGGACACUCAGGAUGAGGUGCAGAGGAGGAAUCUCAGGGACGAGCUCGAGGAUCGGGAGCGCAGGCACUUCAGCUCCAAGGACAAAUUUUCAGAGGAUAGGGAUCGAAGGAAAGGUCCAG